This is a long non-coding RNA of Patiria miniata (bat star), 390 nucleotides long. RefSeq lists it as uncharacterized. The transcript has 3 exons. NCBI's taxonomy places the organism in Eukaryota, Metazoa, Echinodermata, Asteroidea, Valvatida, Asterinidae. The record is from RefSeq and is a predicted model, not a curated record.
AACAACCUGCCAGAGGUCUUCGGGUUUCUCAGCGCCCUUGCAGCCUUCUUUGGAGAAGACAUCAGUGUUCUGAUUCGUGUUCAAGAUGAAACUACCCCGGAAGUAGCACAGCUUCUGCCUGUCACACCCUGCAUUGUAUCAAAUGGGUCAUCAAUCCUUACAGCUUCUGACUUUAUGUUGGUCGUUGACAAAGAGAUCGUGAUCACGGGAAUCCAAUCGCCACUGCAAGCGUUGAUGUUGAUGUUUGCAGCCUUCUAUAACUUCAACAUUGAGUAUCCAUCAAAGGGGCAGGCACUUCUGGAGCUUGUUCAACGGUCAGUACAUGUUGCACUUAUUCUCACUUUUCAUUGUUACACAUAGAUUUGCUGCACUACUAUCCUGUCACUAGAA